GUUCUCCUACGGGACGCAGCAGUGGGGAAUAUUGCACAAUGGGGGAAACCCUGAUGCAGCGACGCCGCGUGAGUGAAGAAGUAUUUCGGUAUGUAAAGCUCUAUCAGCAGGGAAGAAAAUGACGGUACCUGACUAAGAAGCCCCGGCUAACUACGUGCCAGCAGCCGCGGUAAUACGUAGGGGGCAAGCGUUAUCCGGAUUUACUGGGUGUAAAGGGAGCGUAGGUGGCAUGGUAAGCCAGAAGUGAAAACCAAGGGCUCAACUCUGUGGAUUGCUUUGGGAACUAUCAA
This 290-nucleotide ribosomal RNA is filed under the name uncultured bacterium. RNAcentral describes it as "partial 16S ribosomal RNA". It matches the Rfam family "Bacterial small subunit ribosomal RNA", at positions 333 to 639 of the family's 1533-position model. The record is from RNAcentral.